GUGGGGAAUCUUCCACAAUGGACGAAAGUCUGAUGGAGCAACGCCGCGUGAGUGAAGAAGGGUUUCGGCUCGUAAAGCUCUGUUGUCGGGGACGAAUGUGCAGUAUUUGAAUAAAGUACUGCAAUGACGGUACCUGACGAGGAAGCCACGGCUAACUACGUGCCAGCAGCCGCGGUAAUACGUAGGUGGCAAGCGUUGUCCGGAAUUAUUGGGCGUAAAGGGAGCGCAGGCGGGAAGGUAAGUCGGUCUUAAAAGUGCGGGGCUCAGCCCCGUGAUGGGAGAGAAACUAUCUUUCGUGAGUGAAGGAGAGGAAAGUGGAAUUCCUAGUGUAGCGGUGAAAUGCGUAGAUAUUAGGAGGAACACCAGUGGCGAAGGCGACUUUCUGGACUGUAACUGACGCUGAGGCUCGAAAGCCAGGGGAGCGAACGGGAUUAGAAACCCUUGUAGUCC
Molecule: ribosomal RNA, 450 nt
Filed under: uncultured bacterium
Lineage: Bacteria
Description: partial 16S ribosomal RNA
Rfam family: Bacterial small subunit ribosomal RNA
Source: RNAcentral